UACGAAGGGGGCUAGCGUUGUUCGGAUUUACUGGGCGUAAAGGGCUUGUAGGUGGCCAACUAAGUCACACGUGAAAUCCCUCGGCUUAACCGGGGAACUGCGUGUGAUACUGGAUGGCUUGAGUGUGGGAGAGGGAUGCGGAAUUCCAGGUGUAGCGGUGAAAUGCGUAGAUAUCUGGAGGAACACCGGUGGCGAAGGCGGCAUCCUGGACCAAAACUGACACUGAAAAGCGAAAGCCAGGGGAGCAAACGGG
Molecule: ribosomal RNA, 253 nt
Filed under: uncultured bacterium
Lineage: Bacteria
Description: partial 16S ribosomal RNA
Rfam family: Bacterial small subunit ribosomal RNA
Source: RNAcentral